UCUUGGUCAUUUAGAGGAGUAAAAGUCGUAACAAGGUUUCCGUAGGUGAACCUGCGGAAGGAUCAUUAUCGAAAUUAUUGGUGAGGGUUGUAGCUGGCCUUUCGAGGCAUGUGCACGCUCGAGCCCUUAAUCCACUUUACACCUGUGCACUUAAUGUAGGUCGCCCUUAAAAAAGGUGACCUAUGUCUUAUCAUCAACCCAUCGUAUGUCUCAUAGAAUGUAAUCGAUAUCCUCGCCCUAAAAAAGCGUUGAUAAACUUAUACAACUUUCAACAACGGAUCUCUUGGCUCUCGCAUCGAUGAAGAACGCAGCGAAAUGCGAUAAGUAAUGUGAAUUGCAGAUUUUCAGUGAAUCAUCGAAUCUUUGAACGCACCUUGCGCUCCUUGGUAUUCCGAGGAGCAUGCCUGUUUGAGUGUCAUUAAAUUCUCAACUCCAAGGGUUUCACGACCUUUCGGAGAUUGGACUUGGAGGUGCUGGCCGCAUAUUGGUCGGCUCCUCUCAAAUGCAUCAGCGGAAUUCAACCUUUGGCUUCCGGAUGUCAGUGUGAUAAUCAUGUUGCGCUGUCGUUUGAUCCCUCAGAGUCCGCUUAUAAUGGUCUUCGGACAAAAUCAUCAUCAAAUUUGACCUCAAAUCAGGUAGGACUACCCGCUGAACUUAAGCAUAUCAAUAAGCGGAGGAAA
This 680-nucleotide ribosomal RNA is filed under the name uncultured fungus. RNAcentral's name for it is "eukaryotic LSU rRNA". The stretch from base 264 to 418 matches the Rfam family "5.8S ribosomal RNA". Lineage: Eukaryota; Fungi. The record is from RNAcentral.